GAUGAACGCUGGCGGCGUGCUUAACACAUGCAAGUCGAACGAUGAAGCCCAGCUUGCUGGGUAGAUUAGUGGCGAACGGGUGAGUAACACGUGAGUAACCUGCCCUUCACUCUGGGAUAAGCCUGGGAAACUGGGUCUAAUACCGGAUAGGAGCGACCAUCGCAUGGUUGGUUUUGGAGUGAUUUAUCGGUUUUGGAUGGACUCGGGCCCUAUAAGCUUGUUGGUGGGGUAAUGGCUCCCAAAGGCGAACGCGGGUAGCCGGCCUGAGGGGGUGACCGGCACCACUGGGACGGGAGACGGGCCCGGCUUCCUCCGGGAGGCAGCAGUGGGGAAUUUGGCACAAUGGGCCAAGGCCUAUUGCAGCGCCGCCGCGUGAGGAAUAACGGCCUUCGGGUUGUAACCCUCUUUCCGAAGGAAGGAAGCUAAUGUGACGGUACCUAGAGAAGAAGCACCGGCUAACUACGUG
RNAcentral lists this ribosomal RNA (466 nucleotides) under uncultured bacterium. RNAcentral describes it as "partial 16S ribosomal RNA". It matches the Rfam family "Bacterial small subunit ribosomal RNA", at positions 28 to 507 of the family's 1533-position model. The record is from RNAcentral.